Molecule: non-coding RNA, 97 nt
Organism: Mycena polygramma
Lineage: Eukaryota; Fungi; Basidiomycota; Agaricomycetes; Agaricales; Mycenaceae
Source: the annotation of a GenBank genome assembly
GGCCCAGUAGCACAGUGGUUUAGUGCGCCCUGAUGAUUUGUCAGGUUUCAUUUAACGAAUUAUCAGGAGAACCCUUGUUCAAUCCAAGGCUGGGCCC